This 479-nucleotide ribosomal RNA is filed under the name uncultured organism. Its description in RNAcentral is "partial 16S ribosomal RNA". It matches the Rfam family "Bacterial small subunit ribosomal RNA", at positions 331 to 801 of the family's 1533-position model. The record is from RNAcentral.
GUACACUCCUACGGGAGGCAGCAGUGGGGAAUAUUGCACAAUGGGCGCAAGCCUGAUGCAGCCAUGCCGCGUGUAUGAAGAAGGCCUUCGGGUUGUAAAGUACUUUCAGCGGGGAGGAAGGCAAUACGGUUAAUAACCGUGUUGAUUGACGUUACCCGCAGAAGAAGCACCGGCUAACUCCGUGCCAGCAGCCGCGGUAAUACGGAGGGUGCAAGCGUUAAUCGGAAUUACUGGGCGUAAAGCGCACGCAGGCGGUCUGUCAAGUCGGAUGUGAAAUCCCCGGGCUCAACCUGGGAACUGCAUUCGAAACUGGCAGGCUUGAGUCUUGUAGAGGGGGGUAGAAUUCCAGGUGUAGCGGUGAAAUGCGUAGAGAUCUGGAGGAAUACCGGUGGCGAAGGCGGCCCCCUGGACAAAGACUGACGCUCAGGUGCGAAAGCGUGGGGAGCAAACAGGAUUAGAUACCCCGGUAGUCCCAUGAU